Drosophila montana is the source of this 2284-nucleotide long non-coding RNA. RefSeq lists it as uncharacterized. NCBI's taxonomy places the organism in Eukaryota, Metazoa, Arthropoda, Insecta, Diptera, Drosophilidae. The transcript is spliced from 3 exons. The record is from RefSeq and is a predicted model, not a curated record.
UGUAAUUUAUUUUUAAAGCUCAACACCUUUAUAGCAAUUUUUCAUUUUUUCAUAUUCAAUGCAAAUAUCAAUGCACUCGUUGUUGACAGUCGCACGGUUCGACACGCGCGGAACGUAACAGCCCCGGCAAGGUGCAAAAGGUCAGCGACCCAAUAAUAUCCUGGAAGCUAUCCAAGCAGCUCUAUAGCAAAUUCCAGGAAAAUCAAUCAAUUCAGUUGCCUUAAUAAAAUAGAGAGCUUAUGGCAAAAGUGGAACCACGAGCAGAACAAGUCAAAUGCAUAAAAGAAAACGGAAAAUACGCUCUUGAAUGACGACAGCAGUGCCAAUAAGUUUCUCUAUUUGGAAGUUAAAGAUAACCAAUAGAUAACUGCCUCUUAUCCCAGGUAAAUAGACAACAUCACUUCCGACUUACCUUAACCAUUAGCGCCGAGGUGCGCUCGGAAGUAUUGUAGAAUUGUGAGACACUGUAGAUGAGACGCACCGUCUGAAGCAAAGCCAAUAUGGACUCCUUCAUGCUGACAGGAUCGUCCAGAUACAAUGAAUGACAACAUGUCUCCAUGGCCUGUAUAAACUUGGAAUUGUCGCGCGCUUCGUUGUAGCAGAAUGUUAUCUUGCGAUCGGUUUCCUUCCACUGACGCAUUACCCUUGAACCGGCGAGAAAGAGGCAAUGGAGAGUGAAUUGCACUUCCUUGUCCUGCAGAUGGGCGAGCAGCUGUGAGAAUUGUGCGCCACGUUUCUUCCAAUACUCCAGCUCGUCCUGGGGUCCGCUGUGAUCGUUCUCCUUGCGCAGCUGCUCACUCUCGCCCAGUAUUUUCAGUAUGCCCUUUGUCCAGUUGUUGACGCGCUCCUCCAGCUGCGUGCAGAAUUCCUGAUUCUUGGCCAUGUCCUUGACCUCCUCGACAACUAUGCAGCCAUCAAACAUAUCGCAGCCAUCGGCAAACACAUUAUAAUGAUCGCAGACCUGCUCACAAACGCGCAGAGCGCUGCAAAAGGAGCGCAAUCCCGGCAGCAGUUGCCCUUUUAUGAGACCGCAGCUCACGUCUUCCUCAUCGCCUUCGAGGCUGGGAAAGGCCAAUGCCUGCAUAAACACAAACUCCACAAUACGCUCUAUGGAUGUGACCAGGCCAAUAUUCUUGGCGUCGAUGACGCCACAGUAUCUAAAUAAAUUAGGGAAGAGAAGGCGACCAAAAUAUUCAAUUACCAAUACCCUCAAUCAUGUGUGUGCGUCUCUGUGUGUGUGUGUGUGUGUGUGUGUCGUAUAAAUCCCCGAUAAUCCGCGUGCCAACAAACUAACUAAAAAUUGGCUAUUCUUAGAUAACAGUUUUUAAGUUUAGUCGAAUCAAAAAGAAAUCUAUGAAAGAUAAACAAAGGCGCAAACUAAAACGGAAAACAAACGUGGAGCAGUCAAGAGUUUCCGACUAGCAGAUACCACGUACCCAGCGGCGAUUCAUAUUAAAGAUAAACUGGUUGAAGUUAUUUAACUCUUAGCGAUAUAUAUAAAUUAUGAUACAAUGAUCAACUCUUUUAUACAAACGGAAGGCAUUAGACCAGCAUAGCCGUUAAAACAUUUUCAAUGGGUAGAGGAUAACGAAAAACUUACAAAUCCUUUUGAAAUCCCUCCUCGGGCAGCUGCUUUGACGUAUUCACGCGAAAGAUAUAAAUACAGACGCCGGUAAAGGCGCAGGUCCAGCCAUCGGUUAGGAACAGUUUCUUAUGCUUGGAUGCCGGCAGGCCGCUGGGCGAGGCACCACCUAAAAGGAAAGGCAAUAUAUAUUUCGACCAGAUAUUGGUAUAUCAAUUUGAUGUUCAACAUACCCUGUGGCGUCUUCGAGCUGCUCGAUGCCAUGCCUGUGCGCGAAGGUCCUGGCUUAUUGGCAUCCACCACUGGCGGAGGUUCCGGCUCAUCCACCUCCUGAUAGAACCACAGCAGCUUGUUCUUCAUGUUCGGCAGAAAUAGCUGAUUAAUCUCAUCGAGCUGUCCAUGAGCUGAUGCCGCGGCAGCUGUGUGGCGUCUAUCAGCAGCUGGAAUGUGAACUCCAAACGGGGAUCCAUCUCCCCACGGCGCGCCUUGCGCUCGCAUUCUUCGCGUCGACGCUGCGCUUCGUCCGGGUCCAUGGCCAUGUUUAUUGUUUUAUUUAUUUUUUUUUAUCAAAUAUCCAUAUAAAUGGAUUAUAUAUAUUAAACCGUUGGAGUUACCAAAAAAUACGCGCAGUAAAAGUUUAUCAGGUGCCGCAGAAUGUUCAUUUAUUGAUAUUAUAUAUGUAUUAAAAAUAUAAUUUAUUAA